AGGUACGAUCAUACCAACACUAAUGCACUGGAUUCCAUCAUAAUUUCGCAGUAUAAUUUAGUGUGCUUGGACGAAUGUAGUACUAGGAUGAGUUAUCUCCUUAGAAUUAAUCGUGUUACUCU
RNAcentral lists this ribosomal RNA (122 nucleotides) under Phaseolus vulgaris (common bean). Lineage: Eukaryota; Viridiplantae; Streptophyta; Magnoliopsida; Fabales; Fabaceae. The record is from RNAcentral.